UUGAGCCACAUCCCCAGCCCAAGCUUUUCCUAUUUUUGGUACCAGGGGUUGAACUCAGGGGUAUUCAACCACUGAGCCACACCCCCAAGCCCUAUUUUGUAUUUUAUUUAGAGACAGGGUCUCACUGAGUUGCUUAGCACCUUGCCAUUGCUGAGGCUGGCUUUGAACUUGCGAUCCUCCCACCUCAGCCUCCUGAGCUGCUGGGAUUACAGGCAUGCGCCCCCAUGCCCUGCUCUGUUGGAGUCUGUAAACAAGUCAAAAUAACAUCUGGCAUUUUGCCAGGGGAAUGUUAGAGUUGGUAAACAAGUCUGGAUGGUGCCUGGCAAAAUGCCAGAGGGAGUGGUUUGAGAGGUAACAAAAGCAAGCCAUUAAGUGUGGAGAUUCCUGAUUGGUUGACUGAUGUAUCUAGUUUAUGCUAAUUAGAUAAACUGUGUGGAAUGUAUAAAUACUGCUCCUGUCCUACAAUAAACGGCUCCCACUCCUGCU
RNAcentral lists this long non-coding RNA (486 nucleotides) under Marmota monax (woodchuck). Lineage: Eukaryota; Metazoa; Chordata; Mammalia; Rodentia; Sciuridae. The record is from RNAcentral.